This 551-nucleotide ribosomal RNA is filed under the name uncultured Acaulospora. Its description in RNAcentral is "SSU rRNA". It matches the Rfam family "Eukaryotic small subunit ribosomal RNA", at positions 548 to 1098 of the family's 1831-position model. Lineage: Eukaryota; Fungi; Glomeromycota; Glomeromycetes; Diversisporales; Acaulosporaceae. The record is from RNAcentral.
UUGGAGGGCAAGUCUGGUGCCAGCAGCCGCGGUAAUUCCAGCUCCAAUAGCGUAUAUUAAAGUUGUUGCAGUUAAAAAGCUCGUAGUUGAAUUUCGGAAUCCAUCCAUCGGUCGGGCCUCACGGUCCGCACUGGUGUGAUGGAUUUCUACCUUCUGAAUAACCAGCAUGUCAUUAAUUUGGUGUGUUGGGGAAGCAGGACUGUUACCUUGAAAAAAUUAGAGUGCUUAAAGCAGGCUAGUGCCUGAAUACAUUAGCAUGGAAUAAUGAAAUAGGACGGCAUGGUUCUAUUUUGUUGGUUUCUAGGAUCACCGUAAUGAUUAAUAGGGAUAGUUGGGGGCAUUAGUAUUCAAUUGUCAGAGGUGAAAUUCUUGGAUUUAUUGAAGACUAACUACUGCGAAAGCAUUUGCCAAGGAUGUUUUCAUUAAUCAAGAACGAAAGUUAGGGGAUCGAAGACGAUCAGAUACCGUCGUAGUCUUAACCAUAAACUAUGCCGACUAGGGAUCGGAUGAUGUUAAUUUUUUAAUGACUCAUUCGGCGCCUUACGGGAAAC